Molecule: ribosomal RNA, 253 nt
Filed under: uncultured bacterium
Lineage: Bacteria
Description: partial 16S ribosomal RNA
Rfam family: Bacterial small subunit ribosomal RNA
Source: RNAcentral
UACGUAGGUGGCUAGCGUUGUCCGGAUUUACUGGGCGUAAAGAGCGCGCAGGCGGUCGUUCAAGUCGAGUGUGAAAGCCCCCGGCUCAACUGGGGAGGGUCACUCGAUACUGAUCGACUCGAAGGCAGGAGAGGGAAGCGGAAUUCCCGGUGUAGUGGUGAAAUGCGUAGAUAUCAGGAGGAACACCAAUGGCGAAGGCAGCUCGCUGGGACGUGACUGACGCUGAGACGCGAAAGCGUGGGGAGCAAACAGG